GGCUGGUCUGGAAAUAUGCUCUAGGAACCGGUUUUCUAGUCCUCGUCUAAACCUUGUCUGUUAAGACUCUUCGUUUAUGGAAUGCAGAUUUUUUAAAACCGUGGUUUCGACCGCGGCGAGGUUUAGAACUCGUUUAAACAAUCGGCCUUUGUGUCCCAAACGGAGAUGUAAUGGUUCCAAUGCAGUUUUCAAUUCUAUAUACCGUAGGACUCAUUUACAUGUAGCCUACGGUUGUUUCCUUGAGGUAGGAGGCUCUCUUGCCUCAUGGGACACCCCUGGGAUGUCCCAAUACUUUUGAUCAUAUUAUAUGUCCCGAUAGACUCGAAAGGAUUAACCUACACUUUUUGUAUCAACAAAAAUAUUUAAAACAAUGCCAGAAAAUAUUCU
RNAcentral lists this long non-coding RNA (387 nucleotides) under Androctonus crassicauda. The record is from RNAcentral. Lineage: Eukaryota; Metazoa; Arthropoda; Arachnida; Scorpiones; Buthidae.